This 548-nucleotide ribosomal RNA is filed under the name uncultured bacterium. RNAcentral's name for it is "bacterial SSU rRNA". It matches the Rfam family "Bacterial small subunit ribosomal RNA", at positions 358 to 916 of the family's 1533-position model. The record is from RNAcentral.
GGAAUAUUGCACAAUGGGCGCAAGCCUGAUGCAGCAACGCCGCGUGGGGGAUGACGGCCUUCGGGUUGUAAACCUCUUUUAGCAGGGAAGAAGCGAAAGUGACGGUACCUGCAGAAAAAGCGCCGGCUAACUACGUGCCAGCAGCCGCGGUAAUACGUAGGGCGCAAGCGUUGUCCGGAAUUAUUGGGCGUAAAGAGCUCGUAGGCGGUUGGUCGCGUCUGCUGUGAAAACCCGAGGCUCAACCUCGGGCCUGCAGUGGGUACGGGCCAACUAGAGUGCGGUAGGGGAGAUCGGAAUUCCUGGUGUAGCGGUGGAAUGCGCAGAUAUCAGGAGGAACACCAAUGGCGAAGGCAGAUCUCUGGGCCGUAACUGACGCUGAGGAGCGAAAGCGUGGGGAGCGAACAGGAUUAGAUACCCUGGUAGUCCACGCCGUAAACGGUGGGAACUAGUUGUAGGGGCCAUUCCACGGCUUCUGUGACGAAGCUAACGCAUUAAGUUCCCCGCCUGGGGAGUACGGUCGCAAGACUAAAACUCAAAGGAAUUGACGG